GAUGAACGCUGGCGGCGUGCUUAACACAUGCAAGUCGAACGAUGAUCCCAGCUUGCUGGGGGAUUAGUGGCGAACGGGUGAGUAACACGUGAGUAACCUGCCCUUAACUCUGGGAUAAGACUGGGAAACUGGGUCUAAUACCGGAUAUGACUCCUCAUCGCAUGGUGGGGGGUGGAAAGCUUUUUUGUGGUUUUGGAUGGACUCGCGGCCUAUCAGCUUGUUGGUGAGGUAAUGGCUCACCAAGGCGACGACGGGUAGCCGGCCUGAGAGGGUGACCGGCCACACUGGGACUGUGACACGGCCCAGACUCCUACGGGAGGCAGCAGUGGGGAAUAUUGCACAAUGGGCGAAAGCCUGAUGCAGCGACGCCGCGUGAGGGAUGACGGCCUUCGGGUUGUAAACCUCUUACAGUAGGGAAGAAGCGAAAGUGACGGUACCUGCAGAAGAAGCGCCGGCUAACUACGUGCCAGCAGCCGCGGUAAUACGUAGGGCGCAAGCGUUAUCCGGAAUUAUUGGGCGUAAAGAGCUCGUAGGCGGUUUGUCGCGUCUGCCGUGAAAGUCCGGGGCUCAACUCCGGAUCUGCGGUGGGUACGGGCAGACUAGAGUGAUGUAGGGGAGACUGGAAUUCCUGGUGUAGCGGUGAAAUGCGCAGAUAUCAGGAGGAACACCGAUGGCGAAGGCAGGUCUCUGGGCAUUAACUGACGCUGAGGAGCGAAAGCAUGGGGA
This 726-nucleotide ribosomal RNA is filed under the name uncultured soil bacterium. RNAcentral describes it as "bacterial SSU rRNA". It matches the Rfam family "Bacterial small subunit ribosomal RNA", at positions 28 to 767 of the family's 1533-position model. The record is from RNAcentral.